UCUGAUUCAUUAGAACAGGUCCAGGUUUAAACUGGUUAAGACCAUAGCUUUCAGAGAUCAAGGAGGAAGCCUAUGUUGCUGUUUAAACACAACAGGUUUCAUCAC
Molecule: long non-coding RNA, 105 nt
Filed under: Octopus sinensis (East Asian common octopus)
Lineage: Eukaryota; Metazoa; Mollusca; Cephalopoda; Octopoda; Octopodidae
Description: uncharacterized LOC118764682, transcript variant X2
Source: RNAcentral